Molecule: ribosomal RNA, 112 nt
Filed under: Caerostris darwini
Lineage: Eukaryota; Metazoa; Arthropoda; Arachnida; Araneae; Araneidae
Source: RNAcentral
AACGGCCGUACCAUGCUGAAUAUACCGGUUCUCGUUAGAUCACCGAAGUCAAGCAUCGUUGGGCGCGGUCAGUACAUGGGUGGGUGACCACCUGGGAACACCGCGUGCCGUU